GAUGAACGCUGGCGGCGUGCCUAAUACAUGCAAGUCGAGCGAACGGACGAGAAGCUUGCUUCUCUGAUGUUAGCGGCGGACGGGUGGGUAACACGUGGAUAACCUACCUAUAAGACUGGGAUAACUUCGGGAAACCGGAGCUAAUACCGGAUAAUAUUUUGAACCGCAUGGUUCAAAAGUGAAAGACGGUCUUGCUGUCACUUAUAGAUGGAUCCGCGCUGCACUAGCUAGUUGGUAAGGUAACGGCUUACCAAGGCAACGAUGCAUAGCCGACCUGAGAGGGUGAUCGGCCACACUGGAACUGAGACACGGUCCAGACUCCUACGGGAGGCAGCAGUAGGGAAUCUUCCGCAAUGGGCGAAAGCCUGACGGAGCAACGCCGCGUGAGUGAUGAAGGUCUUCGGAUCGUAAAACUCUGUUAUUAGGGAAGAACAUAUGUGUAAGUAACUGUGCACAUCUUGACGGUACCUAAUCAGAAAGCCACGGCUAACUACGUGCCAGCAGCCGCGGUAAUACGUAGGUGGCAAGCGUUAUCCGGAAUUAUUGGGCGUAAAGCGCGCGUAGGCGGUUUUUUAAGUCUGAUGUGAAAGCCCACGGCUCAACCGUGGAGGGUCAUUGGAAACUGGAAAACUUGAGUGCAGAAGAGGAAAGUGGAAUUCCAUGUGUAGCGGUGAAAUGCGCAGAGAUAUGGAGGAACACCAGUGGCGAAGGCGACUUUCUGGUCUGUAACUGACGCUGAUGUGCGAAAGCGUGGGGAUCAAACAGGAUUAGAUACCCUGGUAGUCCACGCCGUAAACGAUGAGUGCUAAGUGUUAGGGGGUUUCCGCCCCUUAGUGCUGCAGCUAACGCAUUAAGCACUCCGCCUGGGGAGUACGACCGCAAGGUUGAAACUCAAAGGAAUUGACGGGGACCCGCACAAGCGGUGGAGCAUGUGGUUUAAUUCGAAGCAACGCGAAGAACCUUACCAAAUCUUGACAUCCUUUGACAACUCUAGAGAUAGAGCCUUCCCCUUCGGGGGACAAAGUGACAGGUGGUGCAUGGUUGUCGUCAGCUCGUGUCGUGAGAUGUUGGGUUAAGUCCCGCAACGAGCGCAACCCUUAAGCUUAGUUGCCAUCAUUAAGUUGGGCACUCUAAGUUGACUGCCGGUGACAAACCGGAGGAAGGUGGGGAUGACGUCAAAUCAUCAUGCCCCUUAUGAUUUGGGCUACACACGUGCUACAAUGGACAAUACAAAGGGCAGCGAAACCGCGAGGUCAAGCAAAUCCCAUAAAGUUGUUCUCAGUUCGGAUUGUAGUCUGCAACUCGACUACAUGAAGCUGGAAUCGCUAGUAAUCGUAGAUCAGCAUGCUACGGUGAAUACGUUCCCGGGUCU
Molecule: ribosomal RNA, 1372 nt
Filed under: uncultured bacterium
Lineage: Bacteria
Description: bacterial SSU rRNA
Rfam family: Bacterial small subunit ribosomal RNA
Source: RNAcentral